AAAAGGGAAGUGUGGGGACUCCCAGUGGAUAGCAGCAAGGGAGAGAUCCAAGAAGGCUUCGCAGUUGGAUGAAGAGGGAAUGGAGGUCACUGUCUGUCGCCAUGGUUUCUUUUGAAAACCCUUAAUAUGUUCAGGGAUCAAAUGGAGUGGUAUGAACCAGGAAGGAGCAGGGACAACUGCUGGUGAGGAGGUGGAGUAAGUUAACAGCUACCUAUCUCGUUGUGCCCUGACUACGGAAUAUAUGUCGAAAGCAGUGCGUGUUGACAUGCUUACAUUGCAUGCUUUGGGGUGGAACCACAAAAAAAGGGCCUUUCUACACCAAACGCUUUCCACUAGAUAUGUAAAGUUAAGUCUGUAUUGAGGGUUUUGUUGGGUCCAUUUGGUGACACAUUUGCUGUUCUCUUGGCCUGUUUAUCCUACAGUGCUUUAAUCUUAUUAUUGUAUAACGCUGUUUAUCAGACAUGUCAAAGACUCCUGGACGAGACUGCAAAGCUAGCUGAGCUAAAAACAGAGCUACAUUGCCAAGCUGAAAUGGCAACACAGUGGAUCUCUGAGGUGACCAAAUGGGCAGCUGGCAGGACACCUCAUACCUCUGAAGGCACCACACAGGAGGAACUACAGCAGUCAAUUGUGGGACUCUACCUCAGUGUUCUCAGUGCAAUGCAAGCAAACCCUCUACCGCCAGAAUGACAGCAGCAAGCUUUGCCACCGGCUUCGAAGGAAACUGGGAGAGGAAAAAAAAUGCUUCUUCAGGAAAUGCACAGAUACAAUGGUCUAGUACCAGACUCUGCAAAAAUUGAUGUAGCUCUUGUGGAGCAGAUAUCAACUGGAGAGAGCACUGUGUCCCCUGUGUGGCCAUGGGAAGUUCAUGGCAGUGCAAACAUCACAAUGAAGAAGAGACUGCAUGACCAAGUGAUAACGAGGCGACUGAAGGAGGAAAAAAGUGUUUUGGUUUUAGAGAUGGUGCAACACUACACAUGGUUGCAGAAGCAGGCAGAGGAUCUUAUGAACAAAGUGGCUGAGAAUGACCAGACCAUCGAAGGACUUUGCUGUCUCUUAAGAAGACAACAUUCAGAGGUGUCAGAGCAGAUGCACGUGGUCCUCCAGCAGUACAAGACUGCCUUAGGUCCUGAUGCCUCUGUCCUUCUACAAUAGAGGAGGAGGAGGAGGAUCAAAGUGCUCUCAGCACUCCAGACAGCAAUGAUGCUGUCUGACUGACUGUGAAGGACAUGGACCCCACCCCUGUGUGUGUGAUUGUGUGAAUGAGUACAUGUGACAGAUGCAGAGCAGACACAGCUUGGUGAUUGACCCACCAGUGAGAGGCGGGCCACAUUGUUUCUGUUUGGCUUACUUUCAAACGUGUUGAAUGACAUAAGUGUCUCUUAAAAUGUGCACUGUUCUG
Molecule: long non-coding RNA, 1402 nt
Organism: Mugil cephalus (flathead mullet)
Lineage: Eukaryota; Metazoa; Chordata; Actinopteri; Mugiliformes; Mugilidae
Exons: 8
Source: RefSeq, a predicted model, not a curated record